CAGUAGCCGCGGUAAUACGUAGGUGGCAAGCGUUGUCCGGAAUUAUUGGGCGUAAAGGGCUCGCAGGCGGUUUCUUAAGUCUGAUGUGAAAGCCCCCGGCUCAACCGGGGAGGGUCAUUGGAAACUGGGAAACUUGAGUGCAGAAGAGGAGAGCGGAAUUCCACGUGUAGCGGUGAAAUGCGUAGAGAUGUGGAGGAACACCAGUGGCGAAGGCGACUCUCUGGUCUGUAACUGACGCUGAGGAGCGAAAGCGUGGGGAGCGAACAGGAUUAGAUACCCCAGUAGUCCCUGUCUCUUAAAA
RNAcentral lists this ribosomal RNA (301 nucleotides) under uncultured bacterium. RNAcentral's name for it is "partial 16S ribosomal RNA". It matches the Rfam family "Bacterial small subunit ribosomal RNA", at positions 509 to 809 of the family's 1533-position model. The record is from RNAcentral.